UGAAUACGAGACGCUAAGGCGUCGAAGUAGUGUAUGUCAUACUUCCAAGAAAAGCUUGCACUGUCAUAGAUAAAAAACGCCUGUACCAUAACCGACACAGGUGGGUAGGUAGAGUAUACUAAGGGGCGCGAGAUAACUCUCUCUAAGGAACUCGGCAAAAUAACUCCGUAACUUCGGGAGAAGGAGUGCCUUAUUCGUAAGGUUGCAAUAACAAGAUCCAAGCAACUGUUUAUCAAAAACACAGGUCUCCGCUAAGUCGUAAGACGAUGUAUGGGGGCUGACGCCUGCCCAGUGCCAGAAGGUUAAAGAAGUUGGUUAGCAAUUGCGAAGCUGAUAACUGAAGCCCUGGUGAACGGCGGCCGUAACUAUAACGGUCCUAAGGUAGCGAAAUUCCUUGUCGGGUAAGUUCCGACCCGCACGAAAGGCGUAAUGAUUUGGAUACUGUCUCGGAGAGGGGCUCGGUGAAAUAGACUUGUCUGUGAAGAUGCGGACUACCUGCACCAGGACAGAAAGACCCUAUGAAGCUUUACUGUAACUUGAAAUUGAAAUUGGACUUUAUUCGCGCAGUAUAGGUGGGAGGCGUUGAUUAUAAUCUUGCGGGAUUAUUGGAGCCAUCAGUGAGAUACCACUCUUGUAAUGUUAGAUUUCUAACUUUGAAUCAUUAUCUGGUCAAAGAACGGUUUCAGGCGGGCAGUUUGACUGGGGCGGUCGCCUCCUAAACGGUAACGGAGGCGUACAAAGGUUUCCUCUGAACGGUUAGAAAUCGUAUCUAGAGUGUAAAGGCAUAAGGAAGCUUGACUGUGAGACCUACAAGUCGAGCAGGGACGAAAGUCGGUCUUAGUGAUCUGACGGUACUGAGUGGAAAGGCCGUCACUCAACGGAUAAAAGUUACUCUAAGGAUAACAGGCUGAUCUCCCCCAAGAGUUCUCAUCGACGGGGAGGUUUGGCACCUCGAUGUCGGCUCAUCGCAUCCUGGGGCGGUAGUACGUCCCAAGGGUUGGGCUGUUCGCCCAUGAAAGCGGUACGCGAGCUGGGUUCAGAACGUCGUGAGACAGUUCGGUCCAUAUCCGGUGUAGGCGUUAGAAUAUUGAGAGGAGCCUUCUUUAGUACGAGAGGACCGAGAAGGACAUACCUCUGGUGUACCAGUUAUCGUGCCAACGGUAAACGCUGGGUAGCUAUGUAUGGAGUGGAUAACCGCUGAAAGCACCUAAGUGGGAAGCCCACCUCAAGAUAAGUAUUCUC
RNAcentral lists this ribosomal RNA (1242 nucleotides) under metagenome. RNAcentral describes it as "bacterial LSU rRNA". It matches the Rfam family "Bacterial large subunit ribosomal RNA", at positions 1564 to 2815 of the family's 2925-position model. The record is from RNAcentral.